This 648-nucleotide ribosomal RNA is filed under the name uncultured archaeon. RNAcentral describes it as "bacterial SSU rRNA". It matches the Rfam family "Archaeal small subunit ribosomal RNA", at positions 229 to 871 of the family's 1478-position model. The record is from RNAcentral.
GUAGUAGUUGGGUUUGAGGCCCAACUAGCCUGGUGAUCGGUACGUUUCGUGGGAGCAAGAGCCCGAUGAUGGGUAUCUGAGACACGAUUUCAGGCCCUACGGUGCGCAACAGGGGCUGAAGACGUUACGAAUGCAGGAUAUCUGUUAUAAGGGAACUCCGAGUUCUCCGUACACGCGGGCUGUCUGGGUGUUUAAUAUGCACCCGUAUGUAAGGGCCGGGCAAGACCGGUGCCAGCCGCCGCGGUAAUACCGACGGCUCGAGUGGUGACCACUUUUAUUGGGCUUAAAGCGUUCGUAGCUGGACUGUUAAGUCUCUUGGGAAAUCCGUCGGCUCAACCGACGGGCGUCUAAGAGAUACUGGCAGUCUUGGGACCGGGAGAGGUAAGAGGUACUCCGGGGGUAGGAGUGAAAUCCUGUAAUCCUCCGGGGGACCACCUGUGGCGAAGGCGUCUUACCAGAACGGCUCCGACAGUGAGGAACGAAAGUCUGGGGGAGCGAACCGGAUUAGAUACCCGGGUAGUCCCAGCCGUAAACGAUGCGCGUUUAUGGUGUACCGGCGACCACGAGUUGUCCGGAGUGCCGUAGGGAUACCGUGAAACGUGCCGCCUGGGAGUACGUCGCAAGGCUGAUACUCAAAUGAAGUGACGG